Molecule: ribosomal RNA, 497 nt
Filed under: uncultured soil bacterium
Lineage: Bacteria
Description: bacterial SSU rRNA
Rfam family: Bacterial small subunit ribosomal RNA
Source: RNAcentral
AGGACGAACGCUGGCGGCGUGCCUAAUACAUGCAAGUCGAGCGGACGAAUCAAAAGCUUGCUUUUGAUUCGUUAGCGGCGGACGGGUGAGUAACACGUGGGCAACCUGCCCUGUAGACGGGGAUAACACCGAGAAAUCGGUGCUAAUACCGGAUAACACGAAAUGUCGCAUGACGUUUCGUUGAAAGACGGCGCAAGCUGUCGCUACAGGGUGGGCCCGCGGCGCAUUAGCUAGUUGGUGAGGUAACGGCUCACCAAGGCGACGAUGCGUAGCCGACCUGAGAGGGUGAUCGGCCACACUGGGACUGAGACACGGCCCAGACUCCUACGGGAGGCAGCAGUAGGAAUCUCCGCAAUGGACGAAAGUCUGACGGAGCAACGCCGCGUGAGCGAAGAAGGCGUUUCGGUCGUAAAGCUCGUGUUGUUAGGGAGAACGAAGUAACGCAGUAACUGGACGUUACGUGACGGUACCUAACGAAGAAGCCACGCUAACUACGU